AUGUAUGGGUGUGUUCUGAGUGCGGUUAGGAGAGUUAUGAGGUGUUGUAUGGUGUUUUAGAUUAGUUUUAAGGGUUUGAAGUGGUCUGUGCGAUUGUGUGGAGUGUCUUGGGAGUGUUUGGGGAUGAUUUUGGUGUAGUUAGAUGUUUCUAGUUGAGUUAUGGGUUUAUUUGUUAAUAUUUUGAAGUGUUGCAUAGGGUUUUGAGUGUGUUUCGGGUUAAUGUCCUCACUUACGUUUGCUAGUCUUGUAUAAUUUCAUGGUAUGAUGGACGCAGCUGAGGUGGGCCUCUGCUGUGGCCAGGCAGUUCAGCCUUGCCGUCAACCCUCCAUGUGAUGAGUGAGUUGCCGAUUGAGCUGGAGUGUCCUGGUAUUGGGGGCUCGUCUGGUAUUGUAGACAACCAUCUGUGUAACCUUUUCGUGAAGAGGUCCGGUGUGACCCCUGGCAUGUUCGUGAUGGUGUCCGGCACAGCGUUGAAGAGGUCCGCAGAAAACAACACGCCGAUUUAUUUGAAGUCAAGGACGGAGAUUAAAACGGCCUUGAAAAACACCACACCCGUUUUGUCCACCGCUAUCACCACCUUUUCCCAGAUCAAGGAAGUGUAUUACAGACUCACACAUAAGGAAGAGGUGUGAGGUUGCGUGGUAGGUGCGUUCACUGGUCUGGGCUGUGUUGGUGCGUUUUCUGAAGAGAUGACCGCAGAAACACUGGCUGCUGAUGACUACAGCCGCACAGAGGCAGUGUACUGUUCAAGCUGGAUGGAACAGUUGUAUUGCACAGCCAAGGAGUUUGUCACAGCAUACCUAAGAAUGCACUUCAUUGUGUCUUGCAGGUUAGCACCCCUAUCACACAAAAAUGUGCAAUCUGAAAUGGAAAAGAAAAAUCUUAUACCUAAUCUAACACACACAAUCAUUCACAAAUAAUCACCACUCCAAUGCUUACCAUAAACUAAUUUGAAGUAAUAUCCCACUCAAUUGAAAACUCAAGAAAACUGCUUGUUCAGCUUUGUAUUCACCCUCGCGUUGGAUUUGGUAAGUUGAGGUUGUUGUUUAAGCCUCAUUAUCACUGCAAUAAAGUACUAAGCAUUAACCUGAACCACGUGACUCCUAUACUGAUCUCCGUUUAUAAUGAAAUAGUAGCUUUGAUAACCACACCACACUAACUCCCUCCUUCUCCUCUUUACAUGUGAGUACCCGUAUCACAGGUCACACAGUGGGACUGAAUAAAGUCAAGUACAAAUUACGGUUUGCUAGGCAUUCGGUGUUAGGCAUAGGGCGAUAGGCGGCACGGCUAACCAUUCUCUUCCAGGUACAUGUUAAUUAUCUAGUCUUCUCCAGUAAUGCCCUGGUUAGCGCACCGUGGCGGCAAUCCUGGAGCCUCAGUUUUAUUUAUUUUUUGGGUGUGUGGUUUUAUAUGGUAAUUUUUGUUGUUCCAGGGUUGCGUGGUAGGUGCGUUCACUGGUCUGGGCUGUGUUGGUGCGUUUUCUGAAGAGAUGACCGCAGAAACACUGGCUGCUGAUGACUACAGCCGCACAGAGGCAGUGUACUGUUCAAGCUGGAUGGAAGUAUGCAAACCUCGCAAUGAAGAUGGAAAAGUUUAGGAGAUGGUUCUUCUAUCUUGACUUUUGCCUAAAAUAAGCAUCUUGUGUGUGUGUGUGUGUAUUUACCUAGUUGUAUUUACAUAGUUCUAGUUUUAUAG
RNAcentral lists this unclassified non-coding RNA (1695 nucleotides) under Portunus trituberculatus (swimming crab). RNAcentral's name for it is "uncharacterized LOC123498905, transcript variant X5". Lineage: Eukaryota; Metazoa; Arthropoda; Malacostraca; Decapoda; Portunidae. The record is from RNAcentral.